Molecule: ribosomal RNA, 817 nt
Filed under: Fusiformiascus palmicola
Lineage: Eukaryota; Fungi; Ascomycota; Sordariomycetes; Xylariales; Diatrypaceae
Description: eukaryotic LSU rRNA
Rfam family: Eukaryotic large subunit ribosomal RNA
Source: RNAcentral
CCUAGUAACGGCGAGUGAAGCGGCAACAGCUCAAAUUUGAAAUCUGGCCUUCGGGUCCGAGUUGUAAUUUGUAGAGGAUGCUUUUGGUGCAGUGCCUUCCGAGUUCCUUGGAACAGGACGCCUUAGAGGGUGAGAGCCCCGUACGGUUGGACACUAAGCCUCUGUAAAGCUCCUUCGACGAGUCGAGUAGUUUGGGAAUGCUGCUCUAAAUGGGAGGUAAAUUUCUUCUAAAGCUAAAUACCGGCCAGAGACCGAUAGCGCACAAGUAGAGUGAUCGAAAGAUGAAAAGUACUUUGAAAAGAGGGUUAAAUAGCACGUGAAAUUGUUGAAAGGGAAGCGUUUAUGACCAGACCUUUGCCUGGCGGAUCAUCCGGUGUUCUUCACCGGUGCACUUCGCCUGGCUUAGGCCAGCAUCGAUUUCUGUAGGGGGAUAAAGGCCAUGGGAACGUAGCUCUCUUCGGGGAGUGUUAUAGCCCUAGGUGUAAUACCCUUACGGGGAUCGAGGUUCGCGCUUCUGCAAGGAUGCUGGCGUAAUGGUCAUCAACGACCCGUCUUGAAACACGGACCAAGGAGUCGAACAUUUAUGCGAGUGUUUGGGUGUCAAACCCUCACGCGUAAUGAAAGUGAACGGAGGUGAGAGCCCUUUUUGGGUGCAUCAUCGACCGAUCCUGAUGUCUUCGGAUGGAUUUGAGUAAGAGCAUAACUGUUCGGACCCGAAAGAUGGUGAACUAUGCGUGGAUAGGGUGAAGCCAGAGGAAACUCUGGUGGAGGCUCGCAGCGGUUCUGACGUGCAAAUCGAUCGUCAAAUCUGCGCAUG